Molecule: ribosomal RNA, 549 nt
Filed under: Triticum aestivum (bread wheat)
Lineage: Eukaryota; Viridiplantae; Streptophyta; Magnoliopsida; Poales; Poaceae
Description: partial small subunit ribosomal RNA
Source: RNAcentral
AUGGCGGACAAUACCGGCAAAGAGGGAGAAGAGGCCCUGUUCGAGAUCAUACGCAGCCCUAGCAGGCCAGAUGAUCUGAAUGAAGAAAAUGACGGCUCCCAAUAUCUGAACAAAACCGGGGAGGGUGAUGAUAAGAUAUUCGAUCUCGACGACCGAGCUGAUGAAGUCAUGAACUAUGAUUAUGAUUAUGAUGACGCAGACAAUGAUUAUGAUGACGAAUACAAUGUUGAUCUUGAAAUAACAAAGACUACCGGCGAGGUAUAUUUAUAUAAGCAGGCAUCUAGUGAUCAUCACAUGUUUUUUUUAUUUGAAGAUAUAUUAACGAAUCGAUCUUUCUUCUUUCAGCCCUCCGGAUUGAGCAAAUCUGCUUCUACAGACAGCAGGACAAAGCGCGGCCCGGGCAAAAAGUUGAAGGAGGGUGUAAAGUACAACAUCGAUUCCAUCAAAGCUAGUGGCGAACCCCUCAUGCCUAAGAACAUUGCGAACAAGUUCGUUCGUCAGUGCGGAGUUCUUGUGAAGGACCAACUCCCGAUCUCCAUUCAAGAAUAG